GUGGGGAAUAUUGGACAAUGGGGGGAACCCUGAUCCAGCCAUGCCGCGUGUGUGAAGAAGGCCUUUCGGUUGUAAAGCACUUUAAGCGAGGAGGAGGCUACCGAGAUUAAUACUCUUGGAUAGUGGACGUUACUCGCAGAAUAAGCACCGGCUAACUCUGUGCCAGCAGCCGCGGUAAUACAGAGGGUGCAAGCGUUAAUCGGAUUUACUGGGCGUAAAGCGCGCGUAGGUGGCCAAUUAAGUCAAAUGUGAAAUCCCCGAGCUUAACUUGGGAAUUGCAUUCGAUACUGGUUGGCUAGAGUAUGGGAGAGGAUGGUAGAAUUCCAGGUGUAGCGGUGAAAUGCGUAGAGAUCUGGAGGAAUACCGAUGGCGAAGGCAGCCAUCUGGCCUAAUACUGACACUGAGGUGCGAAAGCAUGGGGAGCAAACAGGAUUAGAUACCCGUGUAGUCC
RNAcentral lists this ribosomal RNA (451 nucleotides) under uncultured bacterium. RNAcentral's name for it is "partial 16S ribosomal RNA". It matches the Rfam family "Bacterial small subunit ribosomal RNA", at positions 354 to 796 of the family's 1533-position model. The record is from RNAcentral.